RNAcentral lists this transfer RNA (70 nucleotides) under Dipodomys ordii (Ord's kangaroo rat). It matches the Rfam family "tRNA". Rfam says of the family: Transfer RNA (tRNA) molecules are approximately 80 nucleotides in length. Their secondary structure includes four short double-helical elements and three loops (D, anti-codon, and T loops). Lineage: Eukaryota; Metazoa; Chordata; Mammalia; Rodentia; Heteromyidae. The record is from Rfam by way of RNAcentral.
GGGAAUGUGGCUUAGUGGUAGAGUGCUUGCCUAGCACGCAUGUAUCCCUGGGCUCAAAUCCUCAGUACCA